GUCUCUGCGGGUGAGACUUGCCAGGGAGGCUUCACCGCACAGGCUAGGCCCCGGGGCGGGCGUGAGCAGCCCGGAAAGCCCGGGACCAAGGCCAGUUCGGCCUGCCCGCCUGGGGUUGGGAUGCUAGGGGCCUGCACUCCCGGGAGCUGGGGGGCCUGGUGCUGCAUUUAUGAAGCGCCUGCUGCAUUCGCGCAGAGCUCAGCUGCCUGAGUUACUGGCCAGAGAGGCUCACCCAGGCACACUCCACCCCAGGGAGAAGUUUGGAGACAGGGUGCUUGCUGCGCAUGAGAAUGGAGAGAGGGGACUGGAUGGCCCUGGGUGCAGGACCCCAACUCUGGGGCUCUGAGGAAGGCUGCGGUGGGGGGCUGGUGGCAAAGCCUGAGAUGCCUGGAGUGGGGGGAGAGGGACCUGGGGCAAGUAAGGCAGGAGGAACCCAAAGGAGCCAGACAGGAGAGGGUGACCCCUGGGUCUGGCUCUGGGUCCCCCAGCCAAGUGCCUCUGGCUUCUCAGACUCCGUGUGCUCAUCAGCAAAUUGGUCGAGGAGAGUGUCUCUGACCUGCUGCUCCGGCCACCCCACUGUUCCAGAAUGGCCUGCCUUAGAGAAUCCUGCCCCUCUCCUUGUUAAAAGGUGCCUUGGUUCAGAACCCUGUCCACCUUCCUCCAGAUGGCAGGGAGGAAGAAAUCAACACAUCACCCUGCCUAAGGCUUGCUGUUCUAGGAGGAAAAGCAAGCAGAUUUGAGAGGUGGUGACUGCUGUGAAAGCCGCUCAGCCACGUCCGACUCUAUGUGACCCGUGGACUGCAGCCCGCCAGGCUCCUCUGUCCAUGGGCUCCUCCAGGCAAGAAUAAUGGAGUGGGC
Long non-coding RNA from Cervus elaphus (red deer), 858 nucleotides. RefSeq lists it as uncharacterized. Lineage: Eukaryota; Metazoa; Chordata; Mammalia; Artiodactyla; Cervidae. The record is from RefSeq and is a predicted model, not a curated record. The transcript is spliced from 3 exons.